Long non-coding RNA from Priapulus caudatus, 415 nucleotides. RefSeq lists it as uncharacterized. The record is from RefSeq and is a predicted model, not a curated record. The transcript has 3 exons. Lineage: Eukaryota; Metazoa; Priapulida; Priapulimorpha; Priapulimorphida; Priapulidae.
CGCGAGUCACGACACGUCACGUAUCCAUACUGUGCUACCAUUUAGAAUAUCUGCCGUGCCACCGUUCAGACUAUCUGCAAUAUACACUCGCAUCCACACCACGUAUGCAACAGCAAUGACAAGAAGAUCUUUCACACGAGUUUUAUGAACCAGCGACCGCUCUCUAUCACCGAGGCCCGCUAAGAACCCAAUGUAGCAACCAUUCGUCGGAGAACCCUAAUAUCAUCGGAUCCGACUGAGCGGAUUUAAGAACUAAUUUCGCGUGCACGCGCAUCUCAUAAGUCGGAAAACGGGAAAUGAGAAAACGCAGAUAGGUGACCUCGGCGAAGUCCCACUGGGAUAAGCCGGUGAGAUGGAGUUAAUGCGCGGUGAAGUACGUGACACUGUAGCGUGGCUUCACAUAGAUGACAACGCG